AAAAUACCCAACUGUUUACCAAAAACAUAACUGUAUGAGAUACUAUGCAGCUUUUUCUGCUCCAUGAUAUGUUAAAUAGCCGCAGUACCCUGACUGUGCAAAGGUAGCAUAAUCAAUUGGCUUCUAAUUAAAGUCUGGUAUGAAUGAACGUAUGGGUAAUGACUGUCUAAGGAAUGUUAAUUCAAAAUUAUCAAGUUGGUGCAAAUGCCAACAGGCUUAAAAAAGACGAGAAGACCCUAGAAACUUAUAGUUGAUUUUGCUGGGGCGGCAGAAUUGCAUAUAACCAAUUUUAAUUUACGUGAAGCGACGCAGAAAGAAAAAGUUACUCUAGGGAUAACAGCAUAAUUUUAGUAGUUUGUGACCUCGAUGUUGGACUAGGGAUGUUACCUUCUAGAAGGAGGUAAUUAUGGCUCUGUUCGAGCCCUUAGCCCCUACAUGAUCUGAGUUCAGACCGGCGUGAGCCA
Molecule: ribosomal RNA, 464 nt
Filed under: Codringtonia gittenbergeri
Lineage: Eukaryota; Metazoa; Mollusca; Gastropoda; Stylommatophora; Helicidae
Description: partial large subunit ribosomal RNA
Rfam family: Bacterial large subunit ribosomal RNA
Source: RNAcentral